This 79-nucleotide transfer RNA is filed under the name Pseudobacillus badius. Its description in RNAcentral is "Bacillus badius tRNA-Thr". It matches the Rfam family "tRNA". Rfam says of the family: Transfer RNA (tRNA) molecules are approximately 80 nucleotides in length. Lineage: Bacteria; Bacillati; Bacillota; Bacilli; Caryophanales; Bacillaceae. The record is from RNAcentral.
GCUUCCAUAGCUCAGCAGGUAGAGCACUUCCAUGGUAAGGAAGAGGUUUUGUCGUUCGAGACAAACCUUGGAAGAGCAA